UACGAAGGGUGCAAACGUUGCUCGGAAUUAUUGGGCGUAAAGCGCACGUAGGCGGCUUUGCAAGUCCGAUGUGAAAUCCCACGGCUCAACCAUGGAAGCGCAUCGGAAACUGCAGAGCUUGAGUACAAAAGAGGAUCGCGGAAUUCCCGGUGUAGAGGUGAAAUUCGUAGAUAUCGGGAGGAACACCAGUGGCGAAGGCGGCGAUCUGGGUUGAUACUGACGCUGAGGUGCGAAAGCGUGGGGAGCAAACAGG
This 253-nucleotide ribosomal RNA is filed under the name uncultured bacterium. Its description in RNAcentral is "partial 16S ribosomal RNA". It matches the Rfam family "Bacterial small subunit ribosomal RNA", at positions 524 to 776 of the family's 1533-position model. The record is from RNAcentral.